RNAcentral lists this long non-coding RNA (1985 nucleotides) under Homo sapiens (human). RNAcentral describes it as "HSALNT0334382". Lineage: Eukaryota; Metazoa; Chordata; Mammalia; Primates; Hominidae. The record is from RNAcentral.
UUCCUUCCCGGCGAUCUUGACUUAACCUGUCAGCAGAGGGCUUGAGGUUAGACCACAGGUUGAACCUAGGUGGCUGCUGGAGAGAAACACUCUGUCUUCCUGCUUUGAGGACAGCUGAAGUCUUGCCACUUCUUCUGGAUGCUCUGACCAUCAGUAAGAGACACGGUCUGACUUUGUUACCCCGGCUGGAGUGCAGUGGUGCAAUCAUGGCUCACUGCAGCCUUAACCUCCUGGGCUCAAGUGAUCCUCUCGCCAAGGCUAGGAUAAGUAGCUAGGACUACAGAUGCGCCCCAUCACGCCCAGCUAAUUUUACAACUUCUGUAGAGAUGGAGUGUUGCUGGGUUGCCCAGGCUGGUCUUGAAUUCCUGGGCUCAAGCGAUCCUCCUGUGUCCGGAAUUGGUGGGUUCUUGGUCUCACUGACUUCAAGAAUGAAGCCGCGGACCCUCGCGAGUCUGUAUCCACCAGCUACUCUUCCAGAUUCAUGAGGCAAGGCCUGCCUGCUCACCUGGCUGGCCCCAAGCACCUCUUCAACCUGUUGCCACCGUCCUGCCUUGCUGCCCUUCUCAGCUCAUCCAGCAGGGUCUCCAAGUCGUGGAAACAGAAGCACAUAUACACACAUGCUCAUAUGUACAUGCCCACAGUCACAUAAGCACACCGAGAAACACCAUCGCAGACAUGUUCUCACAAGCACAUGUGCAUAACACUCACUACCCCUCACGCGUAUACACAUUAAUACACACACUCAUGCACACUCAGUCUUACACACACAGACACACAGCCAUAAUCACUGUUGUUGGUUGAAUUGUGCCCCCCCAUCCCCACCAAAAAGAUAAGUUGGAGUCCUAACCCCCAGUACCUGGGGAUGUGACCGUAGUUGGAAAUAGGGUGUUUGUAGAUGUAAUCAAAUUAAGAUGAGAUCUUACUGGAUUAGAGUGGGCCUUAAAUCCAGUGACUGGUGUCCUUAUAAGGAGAAAAAGAUUUGAAAACAGAGACAUGGAGACACAGAGCAGAAGGCCAUGUGAUGAUGGAGUCAGAGAUUGGAGUGAUGCAGCUAUGAGCCGAGAAAUACCAAGGUGCUGGCAGCCCCCAGAAGCAAGGAGAGAGGCAAGGAACAAUCUCCAUCAGAGCCUCUGGAAGAAACAGACUCUGCCAACACCUUGAUUUCAGACUUUUGGCCUCCUUCACUGUGCGAGAAUACGUUUCUGUUGUUUUAAACUACUGAGUCACCAAGUCUGUGGUACUGUGUUAUGGCAGCCCCGGCAACAAAUCCAAUCACACACACACACACACACACACACACACACACACACACACACACACACACAGCUGGCUCCAGGCUCAGUGAUGAGCUCAGAGGAGUUCCCCUUGGGAGCUGCUCUUUCUCUGUCUUCCUUCCUUAGUGAUUGGUCCAGUGGAUCCACAAAAGCUCAUGGCCCAGAGCAGGAGCCCAGUCAUUUUUAAUUCCUCUUCCCUGGAGUUCUUAACCAUGCGUUGCCCUCAAAAUCUGCUCUCAAGAUUUGGGUUGCCAUAUUUAGGAGCACCAGAAAACAUACAGGAAUGCUGUGUCUGCUUGCAUCAUAUUAAUUAAAAACUGGAAAUAACCUAAAUGUCCCAGAAUAGGUACAUAAACUGUGGCAUAUCCACUUAAUGGAAUACUACUCAGCAAUACAAAAGGAAAACCUAGUGUUACUUGAGCAACAUGGAUGAACUUCACAGACAUAAUAUUGCACAGCACGAGGCAGACACAAAAGUGUGCAUAUGCUAUGAUUCCAUUUACAUGAGAUUCAAGAACAGGCAAAGCAGAUCUAUGGGGAUAGAAGUCAGAAUAGUGGUUACCUCUGGAAGGUGGAAUUGACUGGGAGGGGCUUCAGGGAACCUCCUGGGGUGCUGAAAACAUUCUGUGCUUGCACCGGGUGGUGGUUAUGUGGGCAUUACAUAAAAUUCACCAAGCUGCACCCUUAAUGAUUUGUACAAUUUGAUGCACA